This 480-nucleotide long non-coding RNA is filed under the name Apteryx owenii (little spotted kiwi). Its description in RNAcentral is "lncRNA (ENSAOWG00000007065.1)". Lineage: Eukaryota; Metazoa; Chordata; Aves; Apterygiformes; Apterygidae. The record is from RNAcentral.
GUUUUUUGGAAGAAUACAUCAUGGAAGGGUCUUAAUAUGUGGCAGGGCUCUUAAAUUUAUUUUAAUGUAUUCAAAUUAAGUAUUUUUAAACUGUUGAGUCCAAAGUGAAAAAUUUGGGAAACUUGACAGCUAUCAAUGCUAGGUGGCAUAUUGACCUUAACUAGGAAAUGCUGUUUCUUUGAAAAAGGAAAUAGAAAUGCCCUAUGGCUGUUUCUAGCCUAAAAAACUUUGUGGGGUUCAUUCAAGGCUCUAGAUAUAAUAAAAGGCUGAGAAAACUGAAUAGUGGUAGACAGCAGAGUUCCUGUAAAUUGGACACAAAUAACCAGAGGAGCUGGCCUGUCUCUGUUACCAAAACAGCUCGGGUCCUUUGGGAAGAAAAAGCAAUUUGUUUGGCAGUCCUGCUGAGGGCAUUGCAGACCACAUAACUGAGGAGGAAGCAUGUGUGAUCGGGAACAAAUGUUCUAUGACAUUCUGAGUGGA